Molecule: microRNA precursor, 197 nt
Organism: Oryza sativa Indica Group (long-grained rice)
Lineage: Eukaryota; Viridiplantae; Streptophyta; Magnoliopsida; Poales; Poaceae
Rfam family: MIR812 microRNA precursor family
Source: Rfam
UUUAAGCGUAACCAUGAGUUUCGCGGUGCCCAACUUUGAUCGUCCGUCUUAUUUGAAAUUUUUUUAUAAUUAGUACUUUUGUUGUUAUGAGAUGAUAAAAUAUGAACGGUACUUUACUUUCGACUAUGUUUUUAAAUUUUUUUUAAAAUAAAACGGAGGAUUAAAGUUAAGCACGGAAAAAUAUGGCUGCACUUAAA